RNAcentral lists this long non-coding RNA (689 nucleotides) under Macaca mulatta (Rhesus monkey). Its description in RNAcentral is "lncRNA (ENSMMUG00000052625.1)". The record is from RNAcentral. Lineage: Eukaryota; Metazoa; Chordata; Mammalia; Primates; Cercopithecidae.
GGAUAUUGCUGUCAAAGGAAUGGAUUCAUUUUUUUAUUAAAAGAGAUGAACUUAUGAAUUCAACAGGUGAAGAUUUACAACUUGAUAAAUCAGCUUUGUGAGCUCCAACUGUAAAAGCCAACGGUCCGGGGAUGAUCCCAUACUGUUUUUUCCAGUCUCAUGUUGAAGAUUUUUAUGUAGAAGUUCUUCCCAAAGGAAUUUAUUUUUUUUUUGGAGACAGAGUUUUCACUCUUGUCGCCCAAGCUGGAGUGCAAUGACGCGACCUUGGCUCACUGUAACCUCUGCCUCCUGGGUUCAAGUGAUUCUUCUGCCUUAGCCUCCCGAGUUGCUGGGAUUAUAGGUGCCCAGCACCAUGCCAGGCUAAUUUUUGUAUUUUUAGUGGAGAUGGGGUUUCGCCAUGUUGGCCAGGCCGGUCUUGAACUCCUGACCUCAGGUAAUCUUCCUGCCUCAGCCUCCCAAAGUGCUGGGAUUAGAGGCGUGAACCCAUGCCCGGCCAGAAAUGUUUUUUUUUAAGAAGGCUGUCUACUAGUGGAGUUCCUGGCCUGAGAGGAUAUUACUUUCCAAGGAAAGGAUUUCUUUCAUUAUUUAAGGAGCCACUUAAGCUAAAGAUUCCCUUGAGAACAAGUACUGUCCUGUGGUUUCAUGGCCUUUCUUCCAUUUGUGGUUCUUGCCAAGUGGUAUUUCAAUGA